RNAcentral lists this ribosomal RNA (468 nucleotides) under uncultured bacterium. RNAcentral's name for it is "partial 16S ribosomal RNA". It matches the Rfam family "Bacterial small subunit ribosomal RNA", at positions 28 to 507 of the family's 1533-position model. The record is from RNAcentral.
GACGAACGCUGGCGGCGUGCUUAACACAUGCAAGUCGAACGGAAAGGCCCUGCUUUUGUGGGGUGCUCGAGUGGCGAACGGGUGAGUAACACGUGAGUAACCUGCCCUUGACUUUGGGAUAACUUCAGGAAACUGGGGCUAAUACCGGAUAGGAGCUCCUGCUGCAUGGUGGGGGUUGGAAAGUUUCGGCGGUUGGGGAUGGACUCGCGGCUUAUCAGCUUGUUGGUGGGGUAGUGGCUUACCAAGGCUUUGACGGGUAGCCGGCCUGAGAGGGUGACCGGGCACAUUGGGACUGAGAUACGGCACAGACUCCUACGGGAGGCAGCGGUGGGGAAUAUUGCACAAUGGGCGGAAGCCUGAUGCAGCAACGCCGCGUGCGGGAUGACGGCCUUCGGGUUGUAAACCGCUUUCGCCUGUGACGAAGCGUGAGUGACGGUAAUGGGUAAAGAAGCACCGGCUAACUACGUG